Molecule: ribosomal RNA, 1382 nt
Filed under: Ischnocnema melanopygia
Lineage: Eukaryota; Metazoa; Chordata; Amphibia; Anura; Brachycephalidae
Description: partial 16S ribosomal RNA
Rfam family: Bacterial large subunit ribosomal RNA
Source: RNAcentral
UCUAGCCCCCCCCCAAAUACCACCACCCCGCCCCAAAAUAAAAUAUUCUAUUAUUUAAGUAAAGACGAUCGAAAACUUUUCAGGAGCUAUAUUAUGUACCGCAAGGGAUGAUGAAAUAAAAUUAAACAAAAAAAGCACAAAAAAGUAGAGACUACCCCCCGUACCUUUUGCAUCAUGAUUUAACUAGUCUAACCAAGCGAAAAGACUUUUAGUUUGACCCCCCGAAACUGAGUGAGCUACUCUAGGGCAGCUUUUUGAGCCAACCCGUCUCUGUUGCAAGAGAGUGGGAAGACCCUCGAGUAGAGGUGACAGACCUAACGAACACAGUGAUAGCUGGUUACUCAAGAAAAGAAUUUUAGUUCAGCCUAAAGUAAUCUUGUAAAAAUUAAUAUACUACUUUAGAGCAAUUCAAGUGGGGUACAGCCCACUUGAAAAAGGACACAACCUAUAACAACGGGUAACUCUCGGCCCCCCAUAAACCAAGUUGGCCUAAAAGCAGCCAUCUUAAAAAAGCGUCAAAGCUUAAUUUUUGCGUUACCUAUACCUCAAUUAAUCAAGAGCCCUUCAAUAGUACUGAGUACUUCUAUAUCCCCUAUAGAACUUUUUAUGUUAAAACUAGUAACAAGAAACACUUCUCUUUCAAUGUAAGUGUAAAUCAGUAACGGAUCAACCGCUGAUCCUCAUUCAACCUAAUUAACAGCACCCCUCCCUGAAAACCCUGUUCCCCCCCAACUGUUAACCUAACACAAGAACAUUCCAAGAAAGAUUAAACAAAAAAGAAGGAACUCGGCAAAUACUGAUCUCGCCUGUUUACCAAAAACAUCGCCUCUUGACAAAAUAAGAGGUCCAGCCUGCCCAGUGACCCAGUUAAACGGCCGCGGUACCCUGACCGUGCAAAGGUAGCGUAAUCACUUGUCUUUUAAAUAGAGACUAGUAUGAAAGGCAUCACGAGGAUCAAACUGUCUCCUUUUUUUAAUCCGUGAAACUAAUCUUCCCGUGAAGAAGCGGGAAUCCUAAUAUAAGACGAGAAGACCCUGUGGAGCUUAAGGCAAAAUAAUUAUCGCUUCUACCAACCAAAACACAUACAAAAGCACUUAAUUACUCGCCUUUGGUUGGGGCGACCGCGGAGUAAAACUCACCCUCCGCGCCAUAAAGAAAUUACCCAGCAAAGAGUCACAACUCCAGGCAUCAAUAAAUUGACACAAUUGACCCAUUAUUUGAUCAACGAACCAAGUUACCCCAGGGAUAACAGCGCAAUCUACUUCAAGAGCCCCUAUCGACAAGUGGGUUUACGACCUCGAUGUUGGAUCAGGGUGUCCCAGUGGUGCAGCCGCUACUAAAGGUUCGUUUGUUCAACGAUUAAAACCCUACGUGAUCUGAGU